RNAcentral lists this ribosomal RNA (254 nucleotides) under uncultured bacterium. Its description in RNAcentral is "partial 16S ribosomal RNA". It matches the Rfam family "Bacterial small subunit ribosomal RNA", at positions 524 to 776 of the family's 1533-position model. The record is from RNAcentral.
UACGAGUGCUCCAAGCGUUAUCCGGAAUCAUUGGGCGUAAAGGGUGUGUAGGUGGUUGUGUUAGUCUUCUGUUAAAUUCUUCGGCUUAACCGGGGGCAUGCAGGGGAAACGGCACGACUAGAGGAUGCGAGAGGUGAAUGGAACUCAUGGAGUAGGGGUGAAAUCCGUUGAUAUCAUGGGGAACACCAAAUGCGAAGGCAAUUCACUGGCGCACUUCCUGACACUGAGACACGAAAGCGUAGGUAGCGAAUGGG